UCUACGGGUGGCAGCAGUGGGGAAUAUUGCACAAUGGGCGAAACCCUGAUGCAGCGAAGCCGCGUGAGUGAAGAAGUACUUCGUUAUGUUAAGCUCUAUCUGCAGGGAAGAAAAUGACGGUAUCUGUGUAAUAAGCCCCGGCUAACUACAUUCCAGCAUCCGCGGUAAUACGUCGGGGGCCAGCGUUAGCCGGAUUUACUGGGUGUAAAGGGAGCGUAGACGGCAGUUCAAGUCCGGAGUGAAAGGCGGGGGCUCAACCCCCGGACUGCUCUGGAAACUGUACGGCUGGAGUGCAGGAGAGGUAAGUGGAAUUCCUAGUGUAGCGGUGAAAUGCGUAGAUAUUAGGAGGAACACCAGUGGCGAAGGCGGCUUACUGGACUGUAACUGACGUUGAGGCUCGAAAGCGUGGGGAGCAAACAGGAUUAGAUACCCGAGUAGUC
RNAcentral lists this ribosomal RNA (440 nucleotides) under uncultured bacterium. RNAcentral describes it as "partial 16S ribosomal RNA". It matches the Rfam family "Bacterial small subunit ribosomal RNA", at positions 338 to 795 of the family's 1533-position model. The record is from RNAcentral.